Non-coding RNA from Vicugna pacos (alpaca), 1844 nucleotides. NCBI's taxonomy places the organism in Eukaryota, Metazoa, Chordata, Mammalia, Artiodactyla, Camelidae. The record is from RefSeq and is a predicted model, not a curated record.
GUUGCUGUCUUGUAGGCUCUGCCUAAAGAGAGGAGAGAGAUGGAGAGAUGUGGAGAGAGAAAUGAGGGGAGAGUAAGAGGAGAGAGAGAGAGAGAGCGCCAGAGAGAGAGAGAAGAGAGUUGUACAGAUGGACCCGAUGCAGUGACUGACUGGCACGCAGACACACACUUUUUGUUUGCUGCACAUAAUCUGCCCAAUGACGCGUGACAGCCCACGUCCCCUCCCUUUAACUCUUUGCUGGGCUGGCGCUCCCUCCGGCGCUGCCUGCCUGGAAGCGAUCUCUCCGGCCUGCCCGCGCCCCGCUGCCCCUGAGCGCCUGCCCCAAGUGGAAACGCCUCUCAGAGCGCGGCCCUGCCCGCCUCCUCCUAAAGCCUCGGCCCUCUGGGACUGCAGCCCUGGUCAGCCUCCCCACAUAAGUUCCUUCUGAUCGGACAGAGCCCCUUGCCUAGGAUUAAGCUGGGACUUGGAGAAAGAAGAGUUGCAAGAUCCUCAUAUACCAGGGAGGAAGGGGAGAAUUCUUCCUGAAUUUCCAGAUCCUGGCUCAUCCCCCUCUAAUCAUAUCACCAAAGCACGACACAAACACAAACACACACACACACACACACACACACACACACACACACACACGUAUAUUUACAUAUUCACACUGGAAGACAAGAGGAUGCCAAAGAAGCAGACAGACAGUGGAGAAUUUUUCCUAAACUUAUUAAUUUCCCACAGGGAGGUCUCUGGAAAGGGCUUAUGAGGAGACUGGGGGAGGCAGAGAGUAACUUCAUGGAGGGGUAUUGCAUUGUCUAGCCUCACCAUGGAGAGUAAGGAACUUUCUAAGGGAUAACUUAGAGCCAAGAAGAGGCAGACUUGCUGAGCUGAAUAAAGGUUUACGUGGAUGGGGAGGGGGCACUUUGUUUUUAAUAAGUAUACAUGGCAAUCCCAUUGUGGGCCUGUUCCUUAGCAAGGAUUACAGUGGGUUCAAUAGCUGAUAAAUGAAUUAAUCUUUCCUAGGCUCAUUCUGGGCCAGCCAGAGAUGCAAAAGAUGGAUAAGAUUAUAGCCAGGGUCCCAACUGCUGGGAUCAUUACUCCUGACACAUUUUUCUCUCUUUCUCAAUCAAUGUUAACUGUUUUUCAUGCUGCUGCUACUACUGUAACUAUUGUCAUCAUGGUUAUAACCUACCUUUCUCAAGUUUAAAACCUUCUAUCUGAGGGAUCUCAAGUUCCACUUGCCCUUCUGCUGGAGUUCAGCUUUGAGCUGGAUAGUCUUUGAGAGCUUUGUUUAAUUCAUUUUCUCUCCUGGAUCUAAGUUGUAGUCAACUGGCUUAAUGGCUUCUGGGUAUGACUUCUAGCAGGACAAACUGGUGCUAUUGAAAGCACCACAGGUCUGAAAUCAAUGUCUCAUGCGGUGACAAAGUAACCUGUGAGCCAGAUCUAAUAUCCAGCAUCCUGACCCCCUGGACUCUCCCAGAUUUUGUACCCCUCUCCAGAUGAAUGGCUAGAGAUCUGGCAAGGAAUUUUCUAUCAAAUCUGCAGGUUACAAAGUCCUUCCCAGAAUUAUACAUACAGUCUUUGAAUAUCUCUUAGUAGGAGGGGUAGGGUAGGAGGAAGGAAAUGUAGGCAGUCAGCCACUCUGAGACUCCUUGCCCUCUGGGCCAGGCUCUCUAGGGAGACUGGGGCCGAAGGGGUGUCCAGUAGUCUCAAGUGGGAGGGAGCAUCAGAUUUUGAGAAGACUGAUUCUAGGCUGUGGGAAUGUCAUCAAGGUGAGAGGCUCUACAUCAGAUUUCUUUACAAAGCCAGGAAAAGGGACAUUAUCCCAAUACCUGGUACCUGAAUGUCUAGUUCCUGAGUUAAAA